RNAcentral lists this ribosomal RNA (202 nucleotides) under uncultured bacterium. RNAcentral describes it as "partial 16S ribosomal RNA". It matches the Rfam family "Bacterial small subunit ribosomal RNA", at positions 162 to 355 of the family's 1533-position model. The record is from RNAcentral.
GCUAAUAACCGGAUAACAACACUAGACGCAUGUCUAGAGUUUAAAAGAAUGGUUCUGCUAUCACUCUUGGAUGGACCUGCGGUGCAUUAGCUAGUUGGUAAGGCAACGGCUUACCAAGGCAAUGAUGCAUAGCCGAGUUGAGAGACUGAUCGGCCACAUUGGGACUGAGACACGGCCCAAACUCCUACGGGAGGCAGCAGUA